CCUGUUCUGGAGGGAUGCCUCCGAACAGACACCUCUUCUUCGCACCUCUUCCAGAUAUAUAUAUAUACUUGAUAAUCAAUAAAAACAGGACUAAUCGUCCAUUCACUUUCAUUCAAUCUCGUUUUACUCUAACACAAAUUAUCUGGCACCGACCCUUGCCUUGGGUGCUGACGCAGUGACGCAGUGACGCGGAUCAUGCCCGUUCAAGCGAAAGCACACUUAACUCUGUCGCAAACCCAAUUAAUCCUGGCCAUGCAAAAUCGCCUGUGCCGGCUCUCGAAGAAAAUCGUGUAGGAGUACAGUACAACACUCCACAGGUGAUUACCAGCCAGGUUGGCGCCAAUUUCAGUAUCCCGUCCCUAUGGCUGUGCCGGUCGUCACACGUGGAACGGCUCCAGCGAGCCGUCGACCAGGCCUGCGCCGCCGCAGCACCCGUCUUCACCGUCGUCGUCGUCCUCCUCCUCGCCGCACCCGUUCAGCCACGUAAGGUUCUUGGGGUCCUCCCGCAGCAGCAUGGCGUCGUACCGCGUGCUCGGGAACGCGUCCGGCGCCUUGACCGCGACCUUGUCUUCC
This 573-nucleotide long non-coding RNA is filed under the name Hordeum vulgare. RNAcentral describes it as "long non-coding RNA (HVUL_LNC003050)". The record is from RNAcentral. Lineage: Eukaryota; Viridiplantae; Streptophyta; Magnoliopsida; Poales; Poaceae.